Molecule: ribosomal RNA, 253 nt
Filed under: uncultured bacterium
Lineage: Bacteria
Description: partial 16S ribosomal RNA
Rfam family: Bacterial small subunit ribosomal RNA
Source: RNAcentral
UACAGAGGUGGCAAGCGUUGUUCGGAAUUACUGGGCGUAAAGGGCGCGUAGGCGGCCUUCUAAGUCAGACGUGAAAUCCCCAGGCUUAACUUGGGAACUGCGUCUGAUACUGGGAGGCUUGAGUGCGGGAGAGGGAUGUGGAAUUCCAGGUGUAGCGGUGAAAUGCGUAGAUAUCUGGAGGAACACCGGUGGCGAAGGCGGCAUCCUGGACCGACACUGACGCUGAGGAGCGAAAGCAUGGGGAGCGAACAGG